Molecule: ribosomal RNA, 484 nt
Filed under: uncultured bacterium
Lineage: Bacteria
Description: partial 16S ribosomal RNA
Rfam family: Bacterial small subunit ribosomal RNA
Source: RNAcentral
AUUGAACGCUGGCGGCAGGCCUAACACAUGCAAGUCGAGCGGAUGAAGGGAGCUUGCUCCUGGAUUCAGCGGCAGACGGGUGAGUAAUGCCUAGGAAUCUGCCUGGUAGUGGGGGAUAACGUCCGGAAACGGGCGCUAAUACCGCAUACGUCCUGAGGGAGAAAGUGGGGGAUCUUCGGACCUCACGCUAUCAGAUGAGCCUAGGUCGGAUUAGCUAGUUGGUGGGGUAAAGGCCUACCAAGGCGACGAUCCGUAACUGGUCUGAGAGGAUGAUUAGUCACACUGGAACUGAGACACGGUCCAGACUCCUACGGGAGGCAGCAGUGGGGAAUAUUGGACAAUGGGCGAAAGCCUGAUCCAGCCAUGCCGCGUGUGUGAAGAAGGUCUUCGGAUUGUAAAGCACUUUAAGUUGGGAGGAAGGGCAGUAAGUUAAUACCUUGCUGUUUUGACGUUACCAACAGAAUAAGCACCGGCUAACUUCGUG